CUACACAUGCAAGUCGGACGGUAGCACAGGUAGAGCUUGCUCUCCGGGUGACGAGUGGCGGACGGGUGAGUAAUGUCUGGGAAACUGCCCGAUGGAGGGGGAUAACUACUGGAAACGGUAGCUAAUACCGCAUAACGUCUUCGGACCAAAGUGGGGGACCUUCGGGCCUCACGCCAUCGGAUGUGCCCAGAUGGGAUUAGCUAGUAGGUGGGGUAACGGCUCACCUAGGCGACGAUCCCUAGCUGGUCUGAGAGGAUGACCAGCCACACUGGAACUGAGACACGGUCCAGACUCCUACGGGAGGCAGCAGUGGGGAAUAUUGCACAAUGGGCGCAAGCCUGAUGCAGCCAUGCCGCGUGUAUGAAGAAGGCCUUCGGGUUGUAAAGUACUUUCAGCGGGGAGGAAGGCGGUGAGGUUAAUAACCUCGCCGAUUGACGUUACCCGCAGAAGAAGCACCGGCUAACUCCGUGCCAGCAGCCGCGGUAAUACGGAGGGUGCAAGCGUUAAUCGGAAUUACUGGGCGUAAAGCGCACGCAGGCGGUCUGUUAAGUCAGAUGUGAAAUCCCCGGGCUUAACCUGGGAACUGCAUUUGAAACUGGCAGGCUUGAGUCUCGUAGAGGGGGGUAGAAUUCCAGGUGUAGCGGUGAAAUGCGUAGAGAUCUGGAGGAAUACCGGUGGCGAAGGCGGCCCCCUGGACGAAGACUGACGCUCAGGUGCGAAAGCGUGGGGAGCAAACAGGAUUA
Molecule: ribosomal RNA, 743 nt
Filed under: Erwinia soli
Lineage: Bacteria; Pseudomonadati; Pseudomonadota; Gammaproteobacteria; Enterobacterales; Erwiniaceae
Description: bacterial SSU rRNA
Rfam family: Bacterial small subunit ribosomal RNA
Source: RNAcentral